UUAAAACCCACACUUCUAUANUAAAAUAACAUGUAUCAUGAUAAAAAAUUAAAGAUCACUUUCAACAACGGAUCUCUUGGCUCUCGCAUCGAUGAAGAACGUAGCGAAGUGCGAUAAGUAGUGUGAAUUGCAGAAUUCCGUGAAUCAUCGAAUCUUUGAACGCAAAUUGCACUCCCUGGUAUUCCGGGGAGUAUGCCUGUUUGAGGGUCAGUUUAAAUAAAAAUCGGUGUGUUGCUUUUUGUAACGCCUCGGAUUUGGGUUAUCUUAGCCUUUGGGUUAAGAGACCUAAAAUUGACUUUUUUUGUGCAUUUUUAUAGACGUACAUAAGAUAUUUUUUUAUUCGUCUUGGAAUGCCAAAUUUAUUAGGUAUGAUCAUGUUGUGUGAUUUCGUACCUAUAGGUUUCAUCAUCUGACCUCAAAUCAGGUAGGGACACCCGCUGAACUUAAGCAUAUCAAUAAGCGGAGGAAAAGAAAAUAACAAUGAUUCCCCUAGUAACUGCGAGUGAAGAGGGACAAGCUCAAAUUUUAAAUCUGUUAGGUAUCACCUGGCCGAGUUGUAAUUUGAAGAAGCGUUUUCUGCGCUCUUGAUCAGCCCAAGUCCUAUUGAAUGAGGCAUCAUGGAGGGUGAUAAUCCCGUCCGGUUGAUCAAUGCGUUUUACGAUACGCUUUCAAAGAGUCAAGUUGUUUGGGAUUGCAGCUUAAAAUGGGAGGUAAAUUUCUCCUAAGGCUGAAUAUUGGCGAGAGACCGAUAGCGAACAAGUACCGUGAGGGAAAGAUGAAAAGAACUU
RNAcentral lists this ribosomal RNA (788 nucleotides) under uncultured Glomeromycotina. RNAcentral describes it as "eukaryotic LSU rRNA". The stretch from base 411 to 788 matches the Rfam family "Eukaryotic large subunit ribosomal RNA", at positions 1 to 376 of the family's 3401-position model. The record is from RNAcentral. Lineage: Eukaryota; Fungi; Glomeromycota.